RNAcentral lists this transfer RNA (77 nucleotides) under Methylorubrum aminovorans. RNAcentral describes it as "tRNA-Met". It matches the Rfam family "tRNA". Rfam says of the family: Transfer RNA (tRNA) molecules are approximately 80 nucleotides in length. Their secondary structure includes four short double-helical elements and three loops (D, anti-codon, and T loops). Further hydrogen bonds mediate the characteristic L-shaped molecular structure. tRNAs have two regions of fundamental functional importance: the anti-codon, which is responsible for specific mRNA codon recognition, and the 3' end, to which the tRNAs corresponding amino acid is attached (by aminoacyl-tRNA synthetases). tRNAs cope with the degeneracy of the genetic code in two manners: having more than one tRNA (with a specific anti-codon) for a particular amino acid; and 'wobble' base-pairing, i.e. permitting non-standard base-pairing at the 3rd anti-codon position. The record is from RNAcentral. Lineage: Bacteria; Pseudomonadati; Pseudomonadota; Alphaproteobacteria; Hyphomicrobiales; Methylobacteriaceae.
CGUGGCGUAGAGCAGCCCGGUAGCUCGUCAGGUUCAUACCCUGAAGGUCGUCGGUUCGAAUCCGACCGCCGCAACCA